CUACGGGUCGCUCCAGUGAGGAAUAUUGCACAAUGGGGGGAACCCUGAUGCAGCAACGCCGCGUGGAGGAUGACGCAUUUCGGUGUGUAAACUCCUUUUAUAUGUCAAGAAAAUGACGGUAGCAUAUGAAUAAGCACCGGCUAACUCCGUGCCAGCAGCCGCGGUAAUACGGAGGGUGCAAGCGUUACUCGGAAUCACUGGGCGUAAAGGACGCGUAGGCGGGGUUGGAAGUCAGGUGUGAAAUCCUACAGCUUAACUGUAGAACUGCACUUGAAACUUCUAUUCUAGAGUAUGGGAGGGGGAGAUGGAAUUAGUGGUGUAGGGGUAAAAUCCGUAGAUAUCACUAGGAAUACCUAAAGCGAAGGCGAUCUCCUGGAACAUUACUGACGCUAAGGCGUGAAAGCGUGGGGAGCAAACAGGAUUAGAUACCCGCGUAGUC
Molecule: ribosomal RNA, 439 nt
Filed under: uncultured bacterium
Lineage: Bacteria
Description: partial 16S ribosomal RNA
Rfam family: Bacterial small subunit ribosomal RNA
Source: RNAcentral